GACGAAGGAGGCUAGCGUUGUUCGGAAUUACUGGGCGUAAAGCGCGCGUAGGCGGUUCUUCAAGUCAGGCGUGAAAGCCCCGGGCUUAACCCGGGAAUAGCGCUUGAUACUGUGGGACUUGAGUCCGGGAGAGGAUAGUGGAAUUCCCAGUGUAGAGGUGAAAUUCGUAGAUAUUGGGAAGAACACCAGUGGCGAAGGCGGCUAUCUGGACCGGUACUGACGCUGAGGCGCGAAAGCGUGGGGAGCAAACAGG
RNAcentral lists this ribosomal RNA (253 nucleotides) under uncultured bacterium. RNAcentral's name for it is "partial 16S ribosomal RNA". It matches the Rfam family "Bacterial small subunit ribosomal RNA", at positions 524 to 776 of the family's 1533-position model. The record is from RNAcentral.